AGUCAUUACGGUCUAAUAAGUAGGAGGUGGCAUAUGCUAAGUUAUCAUGGGACACUACUUACUUACCUGAUAAUGAAGAGAAGCUAAUGAAGUUUUAAAAAAAACUUCAAUACUCAGCAUUUCUCCCCAACCCCAUUCGUUUCAUCUCUCCCUAAAGGUUGGAGUCACCAUAUUUCCAUACCCUCAAAUUAUCACCAAAUUCUUAAGAAAUUGAAGCUAGUAACUGAAAUUGAGAAGGAAUUGAAGCCAUGGAUUGUUACAAGAAGGAAUUAAGAACGAAUUUGGAGCAAGAAUUCAAAGGAUUACAUCAAUUAAACUUCAAAUUGAGAGGUAAGCCAUGUGUUUUAUGGAGUUCAUAGAAAUUGAAAGUAUAGAAUGCUAUUUAUUGCUAUAAUUGUGAUGUUUGGUUGUGGAAUUGGUUGGGUAAUAAUAUUGUAUAAGUUCUGAAGUAAUAAGGGAGGAUCCAUGAAGUCUGCAAGUGUUAAAUAAAUCUGUUAGCUGUAGGAAUUGGUUAAGUUAUGUAUGGUAUUUGAAAUACUAUUAAUUGAUUAUAGUUAUGUUGAUUUAAUACAAAGGCG
Molecule: long non-coding RNA, 578 nt
Filed under: Panax ginseng (ginseng)
Lineage: Eukaryota; Viridiplantae; Streptophyta; Magnoliopsida; Apiales; Araliaceae
Description: long non-coding RNA (PGIN_LNC009681)
Source: RNAcentral